AUACGUAGGUGACAAGCGUUAUCCGGAUUUACUGGGCGUAAAGGGCGUGUAGGCGGUCUUGCAAGUCAGAAGUGAAAUUCCUGAGCUCAACUCGGGCGCUGCUUCUGAAACUGCAGGACUUGAGUGCUGGAGGGGAUAGCGGAAUUCCUAGUGGAGCGGUAAAAUGCGCAGAUAUUAGACAGAACACCGGUGGCGAGGGCGGAUUGUGGGGCAAGUACUGACGCUGAGGCGCGAAAGCGUGGUGAUCGAACAGGAUUAGAUACCCUGGUAGUCCACGCCGUAAACGAUGAUCACUCGCUGUUGGCGAUACACAGUCAGCGGCUAAGCAAAAGCAUUAAGCGAUCCACCUGGGGAGUACGGCCGCAAGGCUGAAACUUAAAGGAAUUGACGGGG
Molecule: ribosomal RNA, 393 nt
Filed under: uncultured bacterium
Lineage: Bacteria
Description: partial 16S ribosomal RNA
Rfam family: Bacterial small subunit ribosomal RNA
Source: RNAcentral